RNAcentral lists this ribosomal RNA (291 nucleotides) under uncultured Desulfobulbus sp. RNAcentral's name for it is "partial 16S ribosomal RNA". It matches the Rfam family "Bacterial small subunit ribosomal RNA", at positions 1091 to 1382 of the family's 1533-position model. The record is from RNAcentral. Lineage: Bacteria; Pseudomonadati; Thermodesulfobacteriota; Desulfobulbia; Desulfobulbales; Desulfobulbaceae.
AACGAGCGCAACCCUUGCCUUUAGUUGCCAGCAGUUCGGCUGGGCACUCUAAAGGGACUGCCGGUGUUAAACCGGAGGAAGGUGGGGAUGACGUCAAGUCCUCAUGGCCUUUAUGACCAGGGCUACACACGUACUACAAUGGCCGAUACAAAGGGCAGCGACACUGCGAGGUGAAGCCAAUCCCGUAAAUACGGUCUCAGUCCGGAUUGGAGUCUGCAACUCGACUCCAUGAAGUUGGAAUCGCUAGUAAUCGUGGAUCAGCAUGCCACGGUGAAUACGUUCCCGGGCCUU